CAGCAGCCACGGGAAUACAGAGGGUGCGAGCGUUAAUCGGAUUUACUGGGCGUAAAGCGUGCGUAGGCGGCUUCUUAAGUCGGAUGUGAAAUCCCUGAGCUUAACUUAGGAAUUGCAUUCGAUACUGGGAAGCUAGAGUAUGGGAGAGGAUGGUAGAAUUCCAGGUGUAGCGGUGAAAUGCGUAGAGAUCUGGAGGAAUACCGAUGGCGAAGGCAGCCAUCUGGCCUAAUACUGACGCUGAGGUACGAAAGCAUGGGGAGCAAUCAGGAUUAGAGACCCCCGUAGUCCCUGUCUCUUAUAA
RNAcentral lists this ribosomal RNA (301 nucleotides) under uncultured bacterium. RNAcentral's name for it is "partial 16S ribosomal RNA". It matches the Rfam family "Bacterial small subunit ribosomal RNA", at positions 509 to 809 of the family's 1533-position model. The record is from RNAcentral.